UCCGUAGGGUGCAAGCGUUAAUCGGAAUUACUGGGCGUAAAGCGUGCGCAGGCGGUUAUUUACGACAGGUGUGAAAUCCCCGGGCUUAACCUGGGAACUGCAUUUGUGACUGCAUAGCUAGAGUACGGUAGAGGGGGAUGGAAUUCCGCGUGUAGCAGUGAAAUGCGUAGAUAUGCGGAGGAACACCGAUGGCGAAGGCAAUCCCCUGGACCUGUACUGACGCUCAUGCACGAAAGCGUGGGGAGCAAACAGG
This 253-nucleotide ribosomal RNA is filed under the name uncultured bacterium. Its description in RNAcentral is "partial 16S ribosomal RNA". It matches the Rfam family "Bacterial small subunit ribosomal RNA", at positions 524 to 776 of the family's 1533-position model. The record is from RNAcentral.